CUGCCAGACUCCUACGGGAGGCAGCAGUGGGGAAUAUUGCACAAUGGGGGAAACCCUGAUGCAGCGACGCCGCGUGGAGGAAGAAGGUCUUCGGAUUGUAAACUCCUGUCCUUGGGGACGAUAAUGACGGUACCCAAGGAGGUAGCACCGGCUAACUACGUGCCAGCAGCCGCGGUAAUACGUAGGGGGCAAGCGUUAUCCGGAUUUACUGGGUGUAAAGGGGGCGCAGACGGCAGCGCAAGCCAGGAGUGAAAGCCCGGGGCCCAACCCCGGGACUGCUCUUGGAACUGCGCGGCUGGAGUGCAGGAGGGGCAGGCGGAAUUCCUGGUGUAGCGGUGAAAUGCGUAGAUAUCAGGAGGAACACCGGUGGCGAAGGCGGCCUGCUGGACUGCGACUGACGUUGAGGCUCGAAAGCGUGGGGAGCGAACAGGAUUAGAUACCCCAGUA
RNAcentral lists this ribosomal RNA (447 nucleotides) under uncultured bacterium. RNAcentral's name for it is "bacterial SSU rRNA". It matches the Rfam family "Bacterial small subunit ribosomal RNA", at positions 328 to 792 of the family's 1533-position model. The record is from RNAcentral.